GUUUUCUUAAAAGUACUUGGUGGACUACCUAAUGAAGACAGCAGGGACUUCUCUAAGGGUUGUUAUGAUAAUUCUAGGUGAAGCAUUGGCAACACUUUAUGGCUGUCCUAGCCUCUCAAAGAAGGUUCGUAAGAGAAACCUCUGGACAGCAUUGAGGUGAAUCAUGACAACGCACAGUAAAGCCUUUCCCAGACCAAUGACCUCACAUUUUCACUUCUAGAUAUCUCUUCUGCAGAAACAACUGGCUCAUGUCUCCGGGAUUCACAUACCAGGAACCUCACUGCAGCUGUGGCUUCAUUAGCAAUACACAGGGAAUCUCCAGAAUGUCCAAAGACUGACCAGUAGUUACAUAUUUAUUGUGGUACCUGUGCAUCCACUGACAAAACAUCUAAGUUUUAUGGAUCAGUAUGGAGACAAUGUCACCACCCAAGGUUAAAUGAAGAGGGAAAAUUCAAAACAGUGUCAUUAAUAAAUGGAGUAAAUAUAAACCUAGUGUUAUGCACAUUGCCAAUUCCCCAUGAUGGAUGUAAUCAUUACAUACUGCAAAAUUGUACCAAUAAAAAUAAAUGGGAACCU
RNAcentral lists this long non-coding RNA (576 nucleotides) under Fukomys damarensis (Damara mole-rat). Its description in RNAcentral is "lncRNA (ENSFDAG00000031433.1)". Lineage: Eukaryota; Metazoa; Chordata; Mammalia; Rodentia; Bathyergidae. The record is from RNAcentral.